This is a long non-coding RNA of Lolium rigidum, 774 nucleotides long. RefSeq lists it as uncharacterized. The record is from RefSeq and is a predicted model, not a curated record. NCBI's taxonomy places the organism in Eukaryota, Viridiplantae, Streptophyta, Magnoliopsida, Poales, Poaceae. The transcript has 3 exons.
UGCUGGUGUGUGCUUGCCAUUGCCAGCACGGCCCUCCUCAGAAGCUGCAGCUGGGCCUGGACGUCGACGACCACGCACAAGGAGACGGCGACCUGGACAUGAUCGGCCGACCACGACGACGCCCACAGAAUAAGGUAUAAUUUCUUCCGACAUUUCCGGUUGGAGGGAUGUCAUGUGCCAAGCAAAAGUCAUGGAUGGAGAAGACUGCUUGUUGUAUUGUGCCACCCUGCCACACGAGAGAGCUGGCUUACCAGGUUGCUCUAUUCUAUGGAGGUGUUCACAUUAAUAAACACCAAGGAUUUAUUUGUUGCCGUCACUGUGGUGGGGCACACCUGGAAGGAUUGUAGCUCUAGCUAGAAAGAAGGACAUUUCUUUGAAGAAUGUGAGGCAUUCCAUCCUUGAUGAGUGUGAUAAGAUCAUAGGUCAGUUGGUAAAUUUUUAUCCUCAUUUCUUCCGUGUAUAGAGUUUUCUGGUCAUAUCUUCAUAUAUAUGAUGCGUGGAACUGUAGGUUCUGCUAAGCUGUUUGCUGUAUAUAGUCAAUUAGCACUAGUGACAUGUAUAGUCUUUUGAGAAUUAAGUUCUUGCUCGCCUACUUGUCAUGUGUUGUAUGUACAAGUCCUGGGAUGAGAUUGCAGAAAUUUGCAUGCUGACAUGCAUCUGCUUUGCCAUGGCGUUGAUUGUUGGGUAGUUCUCUCGCUGAUUAGGCAUGUGCUCGAGAUAAUAUCUUUGCCCACUAGUCAUGUUCUGUGCAGAAUAGUUCCUGAUUCAUUUAAC